CGGGUGAGUAACACGUGAGGAACCUGCCUCAAAGAGGGGGACAACAGUUGGAAACGACUGCUAAUACCGCAUAAGCCCACGGCUCGGCAUCGAGCAGAGGGAAAAGGAGCAAUCCGCUUUGAGAUGGCCUCGCGUCCGAUUAGCUAGUUGGUGAGGUAACGGCCCACCAAGGCGACGAUCGGUAGCCGGACUGAGAGGUUGAACGGCCACAUUGGGACUGAGACACGGCCCAG
RNAcentral lists this ribosomal RNA (233 nucleotides) under uncultured bacterium. RNAcentral's name for it is "partial 16S ribosomal RNA". It matches the Rfam family "Bacterial small subunit ribosomal RNA", at positions 103 to 334 of the family's 1533-position model. The record is from RNAcentral.